This 402-nucleotide ribosomal RNA is filed under the name uncultured bacterium. RNAcentral's name for it is "bacterial SSU rRNA". It matches the Rfam family "Bacterial small subunit ribosomal RNA", at positions 356 to 775 of the family's 1533-position model. The record is from RNAcentral.
AGGGAAUAUUAGAAAUGGACGAAAGUCUGAUCUAGCAACACCGCGUGUGCGAUGAAGGCCUUCGGGUUGUAAAGCACUUUUUGGAAGGAUUAGGAAGGAAUGUACUUCCAGAAUAAGUCUCGGCUAACUACGUGCCAGCAGCCGCGGUAACACGUAGGAGGCGAACGUUAUCCGGAUUUACUGGGCGUAAAGCGUGUGUAGGUGGUUCUGUAAGUAGGGCGUGAAAGCUCCUGGCUCAACUGGGAGAGGCCGUUCUAAACUGCAGAGCUAGAGGAUGGUAGAGGGAGGUGGAAUUCCGGGUGUAGCGGUGGAAUGCGCAGAUAUCCGGAGGAACACCAGUGGCGAAGGCGGCCUCCUGGACCAUUCCUGACACUCAGACGCGAAAGCUAGGGUAGCAAACGG